RNAcentral lists this ribosomal RNA (1103 nucleotides) under Salmonella enterica subsp. enterica serovar Typhimurium. RNAcentral's name for it is "partial 23S ribosomal RNA". It matches the Rfam family "Bacterial large subunit ribosomal RNA", at positions 1 to 1512 of the family's 2925-position model. Lineage: Bacteria; Pseudomonadati; Pseudomonadota; Gammaproteobacteria; Enterobacterales; Enterobacteriaceae. The record is from RNAcentral.
AAGCCAGUGGUGAACUCCACAUCCGCAUCCUUUGCUGAGGAUACGGUUAACGGAGCGAAAGCGACGUUCAACCGCAAAACAAGCAGAGGGGGCUUAGUGGUGGGGUGACUGCGUACCUUUUGUAUAAUGGGUCAGCGACUUAUAUUCUGUAGCAAGGUUAACCGUAUAGGGGAGCCGGAGGGAAACCGAGUCUUAAUUGGGCGUUAAGUUGCAGGGUAUAGACCCGAAACCCGGUGAUCUAGCCAUGGGCAGGUUGAAGGUUGGGUAACACUAACUGGAGGACCGAACCGACUAAUGUUGAAAAAUUAGCGGAUGACCUGUGGCUGGGGGUGAAAGGCCAAUCAAACCGGGAGAUAGCUGGUUCUCCCCGAAAGCUAUUUAGGUAGCGCCUCGUGAAUUCAUCUCCGGGGGUAGAGCACUGUUUCGGCUAGGGGGCCAUCCCGGCUUACCAACCCGAUGCAAACUGCGAAUACCGGAGAAUGUUAUCACGGGAGACACACGGCGGGUGCUAACGUCCGUCGUGAAGAGGGAAACAACCCAGACCGCCAGCUAAGGUCCCAAAGUCAUGGUUAAGUGGGAAACGAUGUGGGAAGGCCCAGACAGCCAGGAUGUUGGCUUAGAAGCAGCCAUCAUUUAAAGAAAGCGUAAUAGCUCACUGGUCGAGUCGGCCUGCGCGGAAGAUGUAACGGGGCUAAACCAUGCACCGAAGCUGCGGCAGCGAACGUAUCACCCAAGACAACUUUACGGAGUUGACGAUUGACGGAGCGAAGCGACGUCAAAGCGUUCAUUAAAGUCGAGUUGGCUUAGGGAUACGUUCGUUGGGUAGGGGAGCGUUCUGUAAGCCUGUGAAGGUGUGUCGUGAGGCAUGCUGGAGGUAUCAGAAGUGCGAAUGCUGACAUAAGUAACGAUAAAGCGGGUGAAAAGCCCGCUCGCCGGAAGACCAAGGGUUCCUGUCCAACGUUAAUCGGGGCAGGGUGAGUCGACCCCUAAGGCGAGGCCGAAAGGCGUAGUCGAUGGGAAACGGGUUAAUAUUCCCGUACUUGGUGUUACUGCGAAGGGGGGACGGAGAAGGCUAUGUUGGCCGGGCGACGGUUGUCCCGGUU